GGUAGUGGCUCAAGUGGUAGAGUGCUCACCUAGCAUGUUUGAGGUACUGGGUUCAAUCCCAGCACCA
RNAcentral lists this transfer RNA (67 nucleotides) under Marmota monax (woodchuck). Its description in RNAcentral is "tRNA.Ala". Lineage: Eukaryota; Metazoa; Chordata; Mammalia; Rodentia; Sciuridae. The record is from RNAcentral.